AAUACCAAUUUCUAUCCCUUCUUUAAUUUUCAUUUAUGCAAUUUUGAUUAAAUGAUCAAGACCGUGGAUUGGAUGGGCCUUGCCCUGGAUGGUCCAUGUACCAAUCAUCUCCCUAAUGAGACAAUCCUGGCCUUCCAAUCGGCGCUUGCAACUAGAUAGUAGUUAAGUAAUGAACAGAUGCACACUGCAGUGGAUGUACCAUAGCUCGAGAAUCACACUGAUUGAUCAAUCCUAGCCAUCGAACACGUCACUAUAAAAUGGAUGGUUAAAAGUAGUACAGCUAAUGAACCAAAUACAAUGAGAAAAAUCAGAUGGAGACAAUCAUCUGACUAAUGUGAUUUUUGGGUUAUGCUCCAUCCACGAUCAGGAUAGCAAUUUAGACAGACCAUAUUGCUGUAUAAGUAAGCCACGUGUACGGUGAAUGAUUAGAGUAUCUAAACGUUGCCAUGCAUGCAUUUUUAUUUAGUAGAAA
Magnolia sinica is the source of this 472-nucleotide long non-coding RNA. RefSeq lists it as uncharacterized. The record is from RefSeq and is a predicted model, not a curated record. The transcript has 2 exons. NCBI's taxonomy places the organism in Eukaryota, Viridiplantae, Streptophyta, Magnoliopsida, Magnoliales, Magnoliaceae.